UGUUCUUCUAUAUCUGGGACAUGAACCUCUUCAGACUGCUGCACAGGUAUUUAAAUUCAUUCACUCCCUCGUUGGGCCGCCGUAUUUCAUAAAAAUUUUGCUAUGAAUCCCAAAGGCGUUAUGAAUACUCUCUCACAGGGCAUGAUCAAUUGUAAGUUGACCGUACCAUGGAACAGGCCGGAAUGUUUGAUCACGAUGAGUGGUGAUUGAGAGGACUUUUCCGAAAGUAGCAAUAACACUUUUCAUGUUCCUUUAGGAUCAGGUCACCUUUGCCUCAAGAAGCACGCCUUCAUCACGUAAUGUUGAAAAACUGAUUACACAGACCAUGUACUUGCAAAAUCAACCUUAUGACCAGAUAUAGCAGUAAAUGAUUUCCCCUCGUUUUUAGCGGACCUAAACUAUAUGACAUAUUUCAGGAACGAAAUGUACAGCAAAAGAGAAAAAUGAAAACAGCAACAACGAUUUCGAGUUUGUGAAUGCUGUCGAGGAAAUGGAGAAAUCCAUUUUAGUUCCUCAAAGUUUACAUGACAUGGCACUGUCAAAAAGUGGCAGUAAUCCUGUUCCAUCAGGCAAUGGAAUCGCUUUAGAGAAAAGCCUUUAUGAAGCAUUCAAUGCGCUGAAAAAUGUGAAGAACGUUGUCCUAACAGGUCACUCCUUGGAUGAUAAAAGCGACGGGCACCCGAUCAGCAGUGAAUUGCAAUCUCUAACAAACUCCUUGGAGGUAAUGACUGACCUGGCCAACAACCUUACCGCCGAAUAUAAGAAAAACUUCAACCUUCUUUUCUGAAAACAGAUUAUUUCUAGGAUGACUGAGAGGAAACGGAACAUAAUGCCUUGGUGGCAAACGUUACGUAACUCAAUGUGGUUCAUUAUCAAGAAAAAGACAAAAUAGAAGCAGGAAAAUGUAAACAGUCAAAAAUUUUUGGAAAUAAUUGCUUCUUGUUUCAAAUUUUUUAACACUCGUUUUAUCUAAGGACUCAAGUUCUUCUUUUUCUUGAAACAAGGCGGGGCGUAGGCUGGCAGAGCGCCAGAAAAUUGUACCAUUUUUUUUUCUCUCUUUCCAAGGAGGAGGCUCUUUGAAUGAUCAGUCGACCCAAAUCAGAAUUGCAGCGAAGGAUCUUUCUAUAUAAACCCUUACCACUGCCAUUAUUUAUAUCGACCGAACAACGAAUACAGUAAUCUAAAAAUUCAAAUGAAUUUGGUCUCAAUAUGCACUUUAUUUUCAGUUUAUCAAUUCAAUGAGAAAAGGGGAAGACGUGAAUUUUAAAAAGAAAAAUUGUUAAUUAAAAUCUUUGCUUAUCAUGAUUAAAAAAAGUCUAAAACAUCUCCUAAGUAACUUCAUACACAUUAGCCAAGUCGUUCUGGAAUGGGAUUUGUGGGUUGUAAAACAUGCUCUCGUACAGCUGUGUUAGCGUAAAUUCCUGACUCAUCGUGCCAAGUGUUUGUUCCGUGUCGUCUGUAGUCGUCCACGUCGGUAAACUGGGAGUGGCACUUCCGCCAAAGUGCAGACUGAUCGGGCUCUGGAGGAGGAGUCUGGUGAGGAACCAGGAGAUAUUGAAAGACCAAACGCGAGAGAGAAAUUAUCACAAGUGUUGAUCACUGAUGAUUUUUACCUGGAAUUAGUUUUUUGAGUGUUUCUGUUUAGUUCUCUUGAAUCGAUUUCACAACA
Pocillopora verrucosa is the source of this 1669-nucleotide RNA transcript. RefSeq lists it as uncharacterized. NCBI's taxonomy places the organism in Eukaryota, Metazoa, Cnidaria, Anthozoa, Scleractinia, Pocilloporidae. The record is from RefSeq and is a predicted model, not a curated record.